Molecule: non-coding RNA, 91 nt
Organism: Mycena rosella
Lineage: Eukaryota; Fungi; Basidiomycota; Agaricomycetes; Agaricales; Mycenaceae
Source: the annotation of a GenBank genome assembly
GGCUUGGUAGUGGGUGGUCCAUAUCUGCAUUCUGUUACCAGGUUAUAAAUCCUUUAAGCAGAAGCAGCCCGUUCGAUUCGGGCCCGAGCUA